Molecule: ribosomal RNA, 245 nt
Filed under: uncultured bacterium
Lineage: Bacteria
Description: partial 16S ribosomal RNA
Rfam family: Bacterial small subunit ribosomal RNA
Source: RNAcentral
AUGGCGACCGGCGCACGGGUGAGUAACACGUAUCCAACCUGCCGAUAACUCGGGGAUAGCCUUUCGAAAGAAAGAUUAAUACCCGAUGGUAUAAUCAGACCGCAUGGUCUUGUUAUUAAAGAAUUUCGGUUAUCGAUGGGGAUGCGUUCCAUUAGGCAGUUGGUGAGGUAACGGCUCACCAAACCUUCGAUGGAUAGGGGUUCUGAGAGGAAGGUCCCCCACACUGGUACUGAGACACGGACCAG